Saccostrea cuccullata (small rock oyster) is the source of this 389-nucleotide long non-coding RNA. RefSeq lists it as uncharacterized. The record is from RefSeq and is a predicted model, not a curated record. Lineage: Eukaryota; Metazoa; Mollusca; Bivalvia; Ostreida; Ostreidae. The transcript is spliced from 2 exons.
AACCCUUAAAAUUAUGAAUUUUUUCAUGAGCGUUGUAUUUAUGAGAAUUUAGAGAAAACUGAAUACGUUUUCAGGAACAGGAUGUGAAUGAAGCCUAGAUAUACAUAAAUCAAAAUGACACAGCUCUAUAAUUAAAUUGAAACAAAAGUUAGGCGUUCGGUAACACGUGACCAAACUGUGCAGUGAGCUGUCAUAUUCAAUUGCUCACAGGUGGUGAUAGACUGAAAAUUCAGGGGAAGCAAGAAGAAGUGAAAUUUAAAUUUGUGGAUUAUACACUUGCUUUAUAGCUGCAUUUAGAAGAGAUACACGAUUGUAACAAAGAAAUUCAGUCAGAGACUGCAAGGAAAACAAAUGUUGUGGCGGUAAAUAACAAUGAAAUCGAAGACCAU